This is a long non-coding RNA of Oncorhynchus keta (chum salmon), 4904 nucleotides long. RefSeq lists it as uncharacterized. The record is from RefSeq and is a predicted model, not a curated record. NCBI's taxonomy places the organism in Eukaryota, Metazoa, Chordata, Actinopteri, Salmoniformes, Salmonidae. The transcript has 7 exons.
UCUUCAGUUUAAAAAAAAACAUCUGUUUUUUAAAAACAUUUUUAUUUAAUUAUUAACAAAGCUUGUGUUCUAUGUUCAUUUCUCCAUCAAACACGUGAAGACUCGUUAUUGUAAAGGAACUAAAACACGCAUGUAAUCCAUCUUAGAAAAACAAACAACAACAUUGAAAUAGAUGGUCUAUUAUUUGAAUCAUACAGCCGUGGCUAUAGCAACACAGUCAUUACAUAACUGUGAACAGCCAGAGUGAUCUGAUUUGAUGGCAUAGCAGUGUUUUGAAGAUAGCAAAUUGAGUAUUCAGUCUGAAUGAUUAUAAAAUCUGUUUUGUUGUGUAGUUGUUGUAUAGGACACUAUGGCCUCCAGACUCAAUAGCAGGACUGAGUUGAAUUAACCGUUUUCAAAGCUCACAUUCCACGACAUACAGUAGAGGCUGUAAAACAGGAAGUGCAUCACUCAGAAUGUAAAAGCUCAAUACUUAUUUUCCUGAUUCUUUAUUUUUUUUUAGCAAUGAGACUCAUCUUGUGAUGCUCUUUCUACGAGACCAUAGAGUUCCUAUAUUCCUGACAUGUCAUUGUGAUUGAUAUAAACAAGCCAUGUUGGACAGGUCUGAUGAGUUAGAUAGUCAGUCCAGUAACCAGCCAUGUUGGUCAGGUCUGAUGAGUUAGAUAGUCAGUCCAGUAACCAGCCAUGUUGGUCAGGUCUGAUGAGUUAGAUAGACAGUCCAGUAACCAGCCAUGUUGGUCAGGUCUGAUGAGUUAGAUAGUCAGUCCAGUAACCAGCCAUGUUGGUCAGGUCUGAUGAGUUAGAUAGUCAGUCCAGUAACCAGCCAUGUUGGUCAGGUCUGAUGAGUUAGAUAGACAGUCCAGUAACCAGCCAUGUUGGUCAGGUCUGAUGAGUUAGUCAGUCCAGUAACCAGCCAUGUUGGUCAGGUCUGAUGAGUUAGAUAGUCAGUCCAGUAACCAGCCAUGUUGGUCAGGUCUGAUGAGUUAGACAGUCCAGUAACCAGCCAUGUUGGUCAGGUCUGAUGAGUUAGAUAGACAGUCCAGUAACCAGCCAUGUUGGUCAGGUCUGAUGAGUUAGAUAGUCAGUCCAGUAACCAGCCAUGUUGGUCAGGUCUGAUGAGUUAGAUAGACAGUCCAGUAACCAGCCAUGUUGGUCAGGUCUGAUGAGUUAGAUAGACAGUCCAGUAACCAGCCAUGUUGGUCAGGUCUGAUGAGUUAGAUAGUCAGUCCAGUAACCAGCCAUGUUGGUCAGGUCUGAUGAGUUAGACAGUCCAGUAACCAGCCAUGUUGGUCAGGUCUGAUGAGUUAGAUAGACAGUCCAGUAACCAGCCAUGUUGGUCAGGUCUGAUGAGUUAGAUAGUCAGUCCAGUAACCAGCCAUGUUGGUCAGGUCUGAUGAGUUAGAUAGACAGUCCAGUAACCAGCCAUGUUGGUCAGGUCUGAUGAGUUAUAGACAGUCAGUCCAGUAACCAGCCAUGUUGGUCAGGUCUGAUGAGUUAGAUAGUCAGUCCAGUAACCAGCCAUGUUGGUCAGGUCUGAUGAGUUAGACAGUCCAGUAACCAGCCAUGUUGGUCAGGUCUGAUGAGUUAGAUAGACAGUCCAGUAACCAGCCAUGUUGGUCAGGUCUGAUGAGUUAGAUAGUCAGUCCAGUAACCAGCCAUGUUGGUCAGGUCUGAUGAGUUAGAUAGACAGUCCAGUAACCAGCCAUGUUGGUCAGGUCUGAUGAGUUAGAUAGUCAGUCCAGUAACCAGCCAUGUUGGUCAGGUCUGAUGAGUUAGAUAGUCAGUCCAGUAACCAGCCAUGUUGGUCAGGUCUGAUGAGUUAGAUAGACAGUCCAGUAACCAGCCAUGUUGGUCAGGUCUGAUGAGUUAGAUAGUCAGUCCAGUAACCAGCCAUGUUGGUCAGGUCUGAUGAGUUAGAUAGACAGUCCAGUAACCAGCCAUGUUGGUCAGGUCUGAUGAGUUAGUCAGUCCAGUAACCAGCCAUGUUGGUCAGGUCUGAUGAGUUAGAUAGUCAGUCCAGUAACCAGCCAUGUUGGUCAGGUCUGAUGAGUUAGACAGUCCAGUAACCAGCCAUGUUGGUCAGGUCUGAUGAGUUAGAUAGACAGUCCAGUAACCAGCCAUGUUGGUCAGGUCUGAUGAGUUAGAUAGUCAGUCCAGUAACCAGCCAUGUUGGUCAGGUCUGAUGAGUUAGAUAGACAGUCCAGUAACCAGCCAUGUUGGUCAGGUCUGAUGAGUUAUAGACAGUCAGUCCAGUAACCAGCCAUGUUGGUCAGGUCUGAUGAGUUAGAUAGUCAGUCCAGUAACCAGCCAUGUUGGUCAGGUCUGAUGAGUUAGACAGUCCAGUAACCAGCCAUGUUGGUCAGGUCUGAUGAGUUAGAUAGACAGUCCAGUAACCAGCCAUGUUGGUCAGGUCUGAUGAGUUAGAUAGACAGUCCAGUAACCAGCCAUGUUGGUCAGGUCUGAUGAGUUAGAUAGUCAGUCCAGUAACCAGCCAUGUUGGUCAGGUCUGAUGUGUUAGAUAGUCAGUCCAGUAACCAGCCAUGUUGGUCAGGUCUGAUGAGUUAUAGUCAGUCCAGUAACCAGCCAUGUUGGUCAGGUCUGAUGAGUUAGAUAGUCAGUCCAGUAACCAGCCAUGUUGGUCAGGUCUGAUGAGUUAGAUAGACAGUCCAGUAACCAGCCAUGUUGGUCAGGUCUGAUGAGUUAGAUAGUCAGUCCAGUAACCAGCCAUGUUGGUCAGGUCUGAUGAGUUAUAGACAGUCCAGUAACCAGCCAUGUUGGUCAGGUCUGAUGAGUUAGAUAGUCAGUCCAGUAACCAGCCAUGUUGGUCAGGUCUGAUGAGUUAUAGUCAGUCCAGUAACCAGCCAUGUUGGUCAGGUCUGAUGAGUUAGAUAGUCAGUCCAGUAACCAGCCAUGUUGGUCAGGUCUGAUGAGUUAUAGUCAGUCCAGUAACCAGCCAUGUUGGUCAGGUCUGAUGAGUUAUAGUCAGUCCAGUAACCAGCCAUGUUGGUCAGGUCUGAUGUGUUAGAUAGUCAGUCCAGUAACCAGCCAUGUUGGUCAGGUCUGAUGAGUUAGAUAGUCAGUCCAGUAACCAGCCAUGUUGGUCAGGUCUGAUGAGUUAGAUAGUCAGUCCAGUAACCAGCCAUGUUGGUCAGGUCUGAUGUGUUAGAUAGUCAGUCCAGUAACCAGCCAUGUUGGUCAGGUCUGAUGAGUUAGAUAGUCAGUCCAGUAACCAGCCAUGUUGGUCAGGUCUGAUGAGUUAGAUAGUCAGUCCAGUAACCAGCCAUGUUGGUCAGGUCUGAUGAGUUAGAUAGUCAGUCCAGUAACCAGCCAUGUUGGUCAGGUCUGAUGAGUUAGAUAGUCAGUCCAGUAACCAGCCAUGUUGGUCAGGUCUGAUGUGUUAGAUAGACAGUCCAGUAACCAGCCAUGUUGGUCAGGUCUGAUGAGUUAGAUAGUCAGUCCAGUAACCAGCCAUGUUGGUCAGGUCUGAUGUGUUAGAUAGACAGUCCAGUAACCAGCCAUGUUGGUCAGGUCUGAUGAGUUAGACAGUCAGUCCAGUAACCAGCCAUGUUGGUCAGGUCUGAUGAGUUAGAUAGUCAGUCCAGUAACCAGCCAUGUUGGUCAGGUCUGAUGAGUUAGAUAGUCAGUCCAGUAACCAGCCAUGUUGGUCAGGUCUGAUGAGUUAGAUAGUCAGUCCAGUAACCAGCCAUGUUGGUCAGGUCUGAUGAGUUAGACAGUCAGUCCAGUAACCAGCCAUGUUGGUCAGGUCUGAUGAGUUAUAGUCAGUCCAGUAACCAGCCAUGUUGGUCAGGUCUGAUGAGUUAUAGUCAGUCCAGUAACCAGCCAUGUUGGUCAGGUCUGAUGAGUUAGAUAGUCAGUCCAGUAACCAGCCAUGUUGGUCAGGUCUGAUGAGUUAGAUAGUCAGUCCAGUAACCAGCCAUGUUGGUCAGGUCUGAUGAGUUAGAUAGUCAGUCCAGUAACCAGCCAUGUUGGUCAGGUCUGAUGAGUUAGAUAGUCAGUCCAGUAACCAGCCAUGUUGGUCAGGUCUGAUGAGUUAGAUAGUCAGUCCAGUAACCAGCCAUGUUGGUCAGGUCUGAUGAGUUAGAUAGUCAGUCCAGUAACCAGCCAUGUUGGUCAGGUCUGAUGUGUUAGAUAGUCAGACCAGUAACCAGCCAUGUUGGUCAGGUCUGAUGAGUUAGAUAGUCAGUCCAGUAACCAGCCAUGUUGGUCAGGUCUGAUGAGUUAGAUAGUCAGUCCAGUAACCAGCCAUGUUGGUCAGGUCUGAUGAGUUAGAUAGUCAGUCCAGUAACCAGCCAUGUUGGUCAGGUCUGAUGAGUUAGAUAGUCAGUCCAGUAACCAGCCAUGUUGGUCAGGUCUGAUGUGUUAGAUAGUCAGUCCAGUAACCAGCCAUGUUGGUCAGGUCUGAUGAGUUAGAUAGUCAGUCCAGUAACCAGCCAUGUUGGUCAGGUCUGAUGAGUUAUAGACAGUCCAGUAACCAGCCAUGUUGGUCAGGUCUGAUGAGUUAGAUAGUCAGUCCAGUAACCAGCCAUGUUGGUCAGGUCUGAUGAGUUAUAGACAGUCCAGUAACCAGCCAUGUUGGUCAGGUCUGAUGAGUUAGAUAGACAGUCCAGUAACCAGCCAUGUUGGUCAGGUCUGAUGAGUUAGAUAGACAGUCCAGUAACCAGCCAUGUUGGUCAGGUCUGAUGAGUUAUAGACAGUCCAGUAACCAGCCAUGUUGGUCAGGUCUGAUGAGUUAGAUAGUCAGUCCAGUAACCAGCCAUGUUGGUCAGGUCUGAUGAGUUAGAUAGUCAGUCCAGUAACCAGCCAUGUUGGUCAGGUCUGAUGAGUUAGACAGUCAGUCCAGUAACCAGCCAUGUUGGUCAGGUCUGAUGAGUUAGAUAGACAGU